CCUACGGGCGGCAGCAGUGGGGAAUAUUGGGCAAUGGGCGCAAGCCUGACCCAGCAACGCCGCGUGAAGGAAGAAGGCUUUCGGGUUGUAAACUUCUUUUCUCAGGGACGAAGCAAGCGACGGUACCUGCGGAAUAAGCCACGGCUAACUACGUGUCAGCAGUCGCGGUAAUACGUCGGUGGCAAGCGUUAUCCGGAUUUACUGGGUGUAAAGGGCGUGUAGGCGGGGACGCAAGUCAGAUGUGAAAACCACGGGCUCAACCUGUGGCCUGCAUUUGAAACUGUGUUUCUUGAGUACUGGAGAGGCAGGCGGAAUUCCUGGUGUAGCGGUGAAAUGCGUAGAUAUUAGGAGGAACACCAGUGGCGAAGGCGGUCUGCUGGACAGCAACUGACACUGAGGCGCGAAAGCGUGGGGAGCAAACAGGAUUAGAUACCCGAGUAGUC
RNAcentral lists this ribosomal RNA (443 nucleotides) under uncultured bacterium. RNAcentral's name for it is "partial 16S ribosomal RNA". It matches the Rfam family "Bacterial small subunit ribosomal RNA", at positions 338 to 795 of the family's 1533-position model. The record is from RNAcentral.